This 570-nucleotide ribosomal RNA is filed under the name Triticum aestivum (bread wheat). RNAcentral's name for it is "partial small subunit ribosomal RNA". The record is from RNAcentral. Lineage: Eukaryota; Viridiplantae; Streptophyta; Magnoliopsida; Poales; Poaceae.
AUGAUCAAAGAGAUAAGGAAGCAAAGUGGCGUUUCAUGGGACGACUGGCAGUGCAAGAUUCUAGCGGAUCCACCACUUUUGAAAAACAUCAUCAUAUCACACCCUAAAGCGGGAAAGUUCAAGACAAAAGCCUUCCCUCUUUUCGAAGCUUUGGGAGAAUUGCAUGAUGGCCAAACUGCAGAAGGGACAUAUAACUUCACCUCUAUCGAGUCAUCACAUUGCUCAACCCAAUCACAUCUCGAGAAUCUUGGAGGAGCUGGCAAGAAUAAAGGAGAAACAUCAGCUGAUGGUGAGAAUCUUGGAGGAGAAAGGGUGCAGAUUGAUGAAGAUGUUGAGGAGAAAUGCAGAAGAGAAAGAACCAAAGAGAAGGAGGGGGCGAAUGGUGAUGUGGCUGAAAUGAUGGAGAAGUACUUGGAAAUAAGGACGAAGCAGGUGGAGGAUGAGAGGAAUAAGCCAAGGGUCGUGGAUGAGUACUCUAUCAAAAACUGCAUUGAUCUGCUGAAACAAAUGGACAUCACACCUGAAGAAGAAGUCAAGGCUUUCCGAGUCUUCAAGAUCCUCGAGAACUGA